AUGCCAAAAUCCACCCCAGGAUCCCUCCAAGCAGCCUCACAGCCAGCAGCACUUCUGCAGCUCCUCAAGCACAUCCCAAGAUUAAGCUGUGUUUCCAAAAGCUGGACCAGGAGCUCAGCUGGAAGCAGCAGCGCUCUUGCAAGGUAUGGCUGUUUAUUUUUUCAUUACCAGCUCCGUAAUGUUGCGUUCCCUCCUCCCACUCCCACUCCCUUCCCCUCUCACACAUCUGUGCAUCUUUCCUUGUUAAAAACAGCCAGUGCUCCCUAUUGGGAUAUUCCAGCUCCCCCCCUCUGCCGCUUCACACAUCCCCUGCUCAAACAGCCACAGCCUGACAGCCCUGGGUGCUGCCUGUGCACCUCAUUCCUGAAGAGAGCAGCCCUGCUGCACCAGCUGCUCACCAGCAUCUGCCUCAUUUCCUAUUUAAAUAGCCCAGCACACACAGAACUUUUCUUCCCCCCGAUGGGAAGGAGUGCUAAUUGCUCAGCCGUGCCAUGCACACACGGCCACCAUGUUGCUAUGAUCUCAAAGAUGGGUAACGUCAGCAUCCCGGGGACCCUCCUCCAGCUGGGAUCGGCGAGCCAAGGCUGAGCUACACGGAGCAGCGGUGCCGGAGGAGCAGCAGAGCUGCACACCAGGUAAGGGACACCGCAGCCCUCUGUCCCCAUGCUGUUCCUGCUCACCGUAUGGCUGAGCGACAAACUGCAAGCAGAGCAAGGCAAUUCUCAGCACAGCCCGGGGACCAGCUGCCAAAUCUUUGAUCUGCACAGGGGGUCGGGGUUUUUUGUUCCCUUCCUUGCAGAGGAAUUUCUGGGAGCGUGGGUCAGGCGGUAGCAGCCAGAAAGCUGUAAGCAGAUAGGGAGAUUCUUUCCUUGACUUUAAAGUGGAUCUGCUUUCAUGGUGCUCCCCCCUUUUUUUUUGGCUGGCUAAUCCUCAACUUGGGAUUCGUCGGUUUGUCUGUCUGUGCCAACUUUUGCAUGCUGCCACAAGUGGAUGCUCUUCGUAGUGAGUGAGAUCAUAACCCACCUCGGUUAAGAAAUAAACUUACUUUAAAUGUGAGUUAAGCCUCUUUAACUUAGUUUUGGAAAUACUCCUUUAACUUUCUUUUUCCCCCUUCUUUCUUCUGCUAGGGCACCCUGAGAGGAGAAUAGCUGUGUCACAAAUGUUAUCGUCCAUGCAAUCUCAGCUGCUGAAAUGAGCUUGAAGUCCCCAGUCUAAAGAGAGGCACUAAUUAAACACAGCAAUGCUCCUGCUCUGAUAUGGAAAAGCAAGCACUGUGCAAGUGAAACAGCCAUCCCUCACAUCCUCCAGGAGAGGAGGAAAGCCGCCCAGGCACAAAGCUUCCCCUGCCCUCCUUGUUGCUGCCAGCCCUGAGGACUGCAAACAGCUGAACUGCACCUCUCCAGCAGAGAAAAGGAUGCUCUGAGAGCUGUUCCACUUGCACAGGAGGAUACAAUUCUCAUUUGCUUUCUUCAUGAAGCCUUGGACGCCAGAGG
RNAcentral lists this long non-coding RNA (1493 nucleotides) under Meleagris gallopavo (turkey). Its description in RNAcentral is "lncRNA (ENSMGAG00000022155.1)". Lineage: Eukaryota; Metazoa; Chordata; Aves; Galliformes; Phasianidae. The record is from RNAcentral.